RNAcentral lists this transfer RNA (72 nucleotides) under Ovis aries (sheep). It matches the Rfam family "tRNA". From Rfam's summary of the family: Transfer RNA (tRNA) molecules are approximately 80 nucleotides in length. Their secondary structure includes four short double-helical elements and three loops (D, anti-codon, and T loops). The record is from Rfam by way of RNAcentral. Lineage: Eukaryota; Metazoa; Chordata; Mammalia; Artiodactyla; Bovidae.
UCCCUGGUGGUCCAGUGGCUAAGACCCUGCAUUCCCAACGCAGGGGCCCAAGUUCUAUACUUGCUCAGGGAA